Non-coding RNA from Hyaena hyaena (striped hyena), 1277 nucleotides. The record is from the annotation of a RefSeq genome assembly. Lineage: Eukaryota; Metazoa; Chordata; Mammalia; Carnivora; Hyaenidae.
CCCCGUCUGCCUGCACUCAGGGGUCACGGGGAGCCCCGGAACUGCUCAUACCUGGGGCUGACCAUGAAGCAGCCCCGGGGAGUCGCCAAGCCACCACUUCUUCUGAGGGACCUGGUCCAGCCCCGCCCUCCCGCCACUGGCCUGCCCAGCCCUGCUCACGGGGACCUCACUUGUUACCUGUCACUGGGGAGGCAGCCUGGCCCACGCGAUGUCACUGCUGGGGGCCGUCAUCCUCUCGUCCCUCUGGGCCUUUGGCCUUGGGCAGCGGAUGUUGGAACAACCUGAAAUCUCAAUUUCCAGAGCAAGAGGUAAGAGUGCACGCAUAUCAUGCAAGAUGUCCAAUGAGGCCGUGAAUACAGUCGUACACUGGUACCGGCAGAAACCUGAUCAGAGGAUAGAGCACCUAACAUACGUCUCAACAAGCCUUCUGAAUCCUUCAGGAACGGGCAGCAAGAAAUUUGAGGCAAGUACAAACGCUCAGACUUCUACUGCGACCUUGACAAUAAAUUUCUUAGAGGAAACAGACGAGGCCGUGUACUACUGUUGGGAGUGGUAUAGCGGGUAUUACUGGGCCCACAAAGUGUUCGGUCCUGGCACGCUGCUCAGGGUCACAGAUAGAAACUUUGAUGAAGACAUUUCCCCUAAGCCCACAAUUUUUCUUCCUUCAAUGGCUGAAAUGAAAUUCCACAAGUCUGGAACAUAUCUUUGUCUUCUUGAGAAUUUUUUCCCUGAUGUUAUCAAGAUAGACUGGAAAGAAAAGAAUGGCAACAGAAUUCUGAUAUCCCAGCAGGGAAACACCAUAAAGACUAAGGACACAUACAUGACAUACACCUGGAUGACCCGCACUAAAAGGUCAACAGCUAAAGAACACAAAUGUAUCGUCAAACAUGAGAAUAAUAAAGGAAAGGUUGAUCAAGAGAUUCUUUUUCGUUCAAUGAAAAAAGAGCUCGCUGCCAUUAAGUCUAUAGAAGCUUCUCUGAAAGAUGAAAAUGACCCCCUGCAGCUGCAGCUCGUGAGCACCUCUGCCUACUACACCUACGUCCUCCUCCUGGCCAAGAGCGUGGUCUACUCCAUCCUCAUCGCCAUCUGUCCGCUUGUGAGACCAGCACUCUGUGACAACUGGGCGUUCCUAAUACAUGGUGGCACACGUAUCUAGUGGGGCUUUCUGCCUGGGUUUGGGUCAUUUCAGUUCACAGGCGUCUUCUAUUGUGUUGCUAUUGCAGAACGGGUUUACAAACCACUGGGCAAAUGGGAGUGGGUCACUCUGCACCAAGAAC